RNAcentral lists this ribosomal RNA (535 nucleotides) under uncultured bacterium. RNAcentral's name for it is "bacterial SSU rRNA". It matches the Rfam family "Bacterial small subunit ribosomal RNA", at positions 786 to 1320 of the family's 1533-position model. The record is from RNAcentral.
CCUGGUAGUCCACGCCGUAAACGUUGGGAACUAGAUGUAGGGACCAUUCCACGGUUUCUGUGUCGCAGCUAACGCAUUAAGUUCCCCGCCUGGGGAGUACGGCCGCAAGGCUAAAACUCAAAGGAAUUGACGGGGGCCCGCACAAGCGGCGGAGCAUGCGGAUUAAUUCGAUGCAACGCGAAGAACCUUACCAAGGCUUGACAUAUACCGGAAAGCUGCAGAAACGUAGCCCCCGCAAGGUCGGUAUACAGGUGGUGCAUGGUUGUCGUCAGCUCGUGUCGUGAGAUGUUGGGUUAAGUCCCGCAACGAGCGCAACCCUCGUUCUAUGUUGCCAGCACGUAAUGGUGGGAACUCAUAGGAGACCGCCGGGGUUCAACUCGGAGGAAGGUGGGGAUGACGUCAAAUCAUCAUGCCCCUUAUGUCUUGGGCUUCACGCAUGCUACAAUGGCCGAUACAAAGGGCUGCAAUACCGCAAGGUGGAGCGAAUCCCAAAAAGUCGGUCUCAGUUCGGAUUGAGGUCUGCAACUCGACCUCA